This is a non-coding RNA of Pangasius djambal, 72 nucleotides long. Lineage: Eukaryota; Metazoa; Chordata; Actinopteri; Siluriformes; Pangasiidae. The record is from the annotation of a GenBank genome assembly.
GGCAGUGGUCACUCAGUGGUUAUGAUGUUGGACUGCUGCUCGGAAAGUUGAGUUCAAAUCCCAGCACUGCCA